CAAGAGAUGGGAGGUCAGGAGUUUUAAAGGUUGCAAGGAAUGCAGCUGCUUGUAGGGAGGGGGAGCCUGUGGCCUUGCUAAGUGGAGUUUUCCUAGCAGCCUGUAUUUGGGCUGGUGAGUUUGCU
MicroRNA precursor from Equus caballus (horse), 125 nucleotides. The record is from Ensembl. NCBI's taxonomy places the organism in Eukaryota, Metazoa, Chordata, Mammalia, Perissodactyla, Equidae.